GCGUUGUCCGGAUUUAUUGGGCGUAAAGAGCUCGUAGGCGGCUUGGCAAGUCGGGUGUGAAAACCUCAGGCUCAACCUGGGGCUGCCACUCGAUACUGCUAUGGCUUGAGUCUGGUAGGGGAUCACGGAAUUCCUGGUGUAGCGGUGAAAUGCGCAGAUAUCAGGAGGAACACCGGUGGCGAAGGCGGUGAUCUGGGCCAGUACUGACGCUGAGGAGCGAAAGCGU
Molecule: ribosomal RNA, 226 nt
Filed under: uncultured bacterium
Lineage: Bacteria
Description: partial 16S ribosomal RNA
Rfam family: Bacterial small subunit ribosomal RNA
Source: RNAcentral